Molecule: ribosomal RNA, 2795 nt
Filed under: Escherichia coli
Lineage: Bacteria; Pseudomonadati; Pseudomonadota; Gammaproteobacteria; Enterobacterales; Enterobacteriaceae
Description: partial 23S ribosomal RNA
Rfam family: Bacterial large subunit ribosomal RNA
Source: RNAcentral
GGUUAAGCGACUAAGCGUACACGGUGGAUGCCCUGGCAGUCAGAGGCGAUGAAGGACGUGCUAAUCUGCGAUAAGCGUCGGUAAGGUGAUAUGAACCGUUAUAACCGGCGAUUUCCGAAUGGGGAAACCCAGUGUGUUUCGACACACUAUCAUUAACUGAAUCCAUAGGUUAAUGAGGCGAACCGGGGGAACUGAAACAUCUAAGUACCCCGAGGAAAAGAAAUCAACCGAGAUUCCCCCAGUAGCGGCGAGCGAACGGGGAGCAGCCCAGAGCCUGAAUCAGUGUGUGUGUUAGUGGAAGCGUCUGGAAAGGCGCGCGAUACAGGGUGACAGCCCCGUACACAAAAAUGCACAUGCUGUGAGCUCGAUGAGUAGGGCGGGACACGUGGUAUCCUGUCUGAAUAUGGGGGGACCAUCCUCCAAGGCUAAAUACUCCUGACUGACCGAUAGUGAACCAGUACCGUGAGGGAAAGGCGAAAAGAACCCCGGCGAGGGGAGUGAAAAAGAACCUGAAACCGUGUACGUACAAGCAGUGGGAGCACGCUUAGGCGUGUGACUGCGUACCUUUUGUAUAAUGGGUCAGCGACUUAUAUUCUGUAGCAAGGUUAACCGAAUAGGGGAGCCGAAGGGAAACCGAGUCUUAACUGGGCGUUAAGUUGCAGGGUAUAGACCCGAAACCCGGUGAUCUAGCCAUGGGCAGGUUGAAGGUUGGGUAACACUAACUGGAGGACCGAACCGACUAAUGUUGAAAAAUUAGCGGAUGACUUGUGGCUGGGGGUGAAAGGCCAAUCAAACCGGGAGAUAGCUGGUUCUCCCCGAAAGCUAUUUAGGUAGCGCCUCGUGAAUUCAUCUCCGGGGGUAGAGCACUGUUUCGGCAAGGGGGUCAUCCCGACUUACCAACCCGAUGCAAACUGCGAAUACCGGAGAAUGUUAUCACGGGAGACACACGGCGGGUGCUAACGUCCGUCGUGAAGAGGGAAACAACCCAGACCGCCAGCUAAGGUCCCAAAGUCAUGGUUAAGUGGGAAACGAUGUGGGAAGGCCCAGACAGCCAGGAUGUUGGCUUAGAAGCAGCCAUCAUUUAAAGAAAGCGUAAUAGCUCACUGGUCGAGUCGGCCUGCGCGGAAGAUGUAACGGGGCUAAACCAUGCACCGAAGCUGCGGCAGCGACGCUUAUGCGUUGUUGGGUAGGGGAGCGUUCUGUAAGCCUGCGAAGGUGUGCUGUGAGGCAUGCUGGAGGUAUCAGAAGUGCGAAUGCUGACAUAAGUAACGAUAAAGCGGGUGAAAAGCCCGCUCGCCGGAAGACCAAGGGUUCCUGUCCAACGUUAAUCGGGGCAGGGUGAGUCGACCCCUAAGGCGAGGCCGAAAGGCGUAGUCGAUGGGAAACAGGUUAAUAUUCCUGUACUUGGUGUUACUGCGAAGGGGGGACGGAGAAGGCUAUGUUGGCCGGGCGACGGUUGUCCCGGUUUAAGCGUGUAGGCUGGUUUUCCAGGCAAAUCCGGAAAAUCAAGGCUGAGGCGUGAUGACGAGGCACUACGGUGCUGAAGCAACAAAUGCCCUGCUUCCAGGAAAAGCCUCUAAGCAUCAGGUAACAUCAAAUCGUACCCCAAACCGACACAGGUGGUCAGGUAGAGAAUACCAAGGCGCUUGAGAGAACUCGGGUGAAGGAACUAGGCAAAAUGGUGCCGUAACUUCGGGAGAAGGCACGCUGAUAUGUAGGUGAAGUCCCUCGCGGAUGGAGCUGAAAUCAGUCGAAGAUACCAGCUGGCUGCAACUGUUUAUUAAAAACACAGCACUGUGCAAACACGAAAGUGGACGUAUACGGUGUGACGCCUGCCCGGUGCCGGAAGGUUAAUUGAUGGGGUUAGCCGCAAGGCGAAGCUCUUGAUCGAAGCCCCGGUAAACGGCGGCCGUAACUAUAACGGUCCUAAGGUAGCGAAAUUCCUUGUCGGGUAAGUUCCGACCUGCACGAAUGGCGUAAUGAUGGCCAGGCUGUCUCCACCCGAGACUCAGUGAAAUUGAACUCGCUGUGAAGAUGCAGUGUACCCGCGGCAAGACGGAAAGACCCCGUGAACCUUUACUAUAGCUUGACACUGAACAUUGAGCCUUGAUGUGUAGGAUAGGUGGGAGGCUUUGAAGUGUGGACGCCAGUCUGCAUGGAGCCGACCUUGAAAUACCACCCUUUAAUGUUUGAUGUUCUAACGUUGACCCGUAAUCCGGGUUGCGGACAGUGUCUGGUGGGUAGUUUGACUGGGGCGGUCUCCUCCUAAAGAGUAACGGAGGAGCACGAAGGUUGGCUAAUCCUGGUCGGACAUCAGGAGGUUAGUGCAAUGGCAUAAGCCAGCUUGACUGCGAGCGUGACGGCGCGAGCAGGUGCGAAAGCAGGUCAUAGUGAUCCGGUGGUUCUGAAUGGAAGGGCCAUCGCUCAACGGAUAAAAGGUACUCCGGGGAUAACAGGCUGAUACCGCCCAAGAGUUCAUAUCGACGGCGGUGUUUGGCACCUCGAUGUCGGCUCAUCACAUCCUGGGGCUGAAGUAGGUCCCAAGGGUAUGGCUGUUCGCCAUUUAAAGUGGUACGCGAGCUGGGUUUAGAACGUCGUGAGACAGUUCGGUCCCUAUCUGCCGUGGGCGCUGGAGAACUGAGGGGGGCUGCUCCUAGUACGAGAGGACCGGAGUGGACGCAUCACUGGUGUUCGGGUUGUCAUGCCAAUGGCACUGCCCGGUAGCUAAAUGCGGAAGAGAUAAGUGCUGAAAGCAUCUAAGCACGAAACUUGCCCCGAGAUGAGUUCUCCCUGAC